GUUCAGUGGUAGAAUUCUCACUUUCCGUGUGGGAGACCUGGGUUCAAUUCCCAG
RNAcentral lists this transfer RNA (54 nucleotides) under Loxodonta africana (African savanna elephant). It matches the Rfam family "tRNA", at positions 10 to 63 of the family's 71-position model. From Rfam's summary of the family: Transfer RNA (tRNA) molecules are approximately 80 nucleotides in length. Their secondary structure includes four short double-helical elements and three loops (D, anti-codon, and T loops). Further hydrogen bonds mediate the characteristic L-shaped molecular structure. tRNAs have two regions of fundamental functional importance: the anti-codon, which is responsible for specific mRNA codon recognition, and the 3' end, to which the tRNAs corresponding amino acid is attached (by aminoacyl-tRNA synthetases). tRNAs cope with the degeneracy of the genetic code in two manners: having more than one tRNA (with a specific anti-codon) for a particular amino acid; and 'wobble' base-pairing, i.e. permitting non-standard base-pairing at the 3rd anti-codon position. Lineage: Eukaryota; Metazoa; Chordata; Mammalia; Proboscidea; Elephantidae. The record is from Rfam by way of RNAcentral.